CCUACGGGAGGCAGCAGUGAGGAAUAUUGGUCAAUGGACGAGAGUCUGAACCAGCCAAGUAGCGUGAAGGAUGACUGCCCUAUGGGUUGUAAACUUCUUUUAUAAAGGAAUAAAACGAGGCACGUGUGCCUUUUUGCAUGUACUUUAUGAAUAAGGAUCGGCUAACUCCGUGCCAGCAGCCGCGGUAAUACGGAGGGUCCGAGCGUUAUCCGGAUUUAUUGGGUUUAAAGGGAGCGUAGAUGGGUUGUUAAGUCAGUUGUGAAAGUUUGCGGCUCAACCGUAACAUUGAAAUUGAUACUGGCAGUCUUGAGUACAGGUGAGGGAGGCGGAAUUCGGGGUGUAGCGGUGAAAUGCUUAGAUAUCACGAAGAACCCCGAUUGCGAAGGCAGGUUACUAAACUUUGACUGACAAUGAUGCUCGAAAGUGAGGGGAUCAAAAAGGAUUAGAUACCCGAGUAGUC
This 460-nucleotide ribosomal RNA is filed under the name uncultured bacterium. RNAcentral's name for it is "partial 16S ribosomal RNA". It matches the Rfam family "Bacterial small subunit ribosomal RNA", at positions 338 to 795 of the family's 1533-position model. The record is from RNAcentral.